This is a long non-coding RNA of Quercus robur (English oak), 987 nucleotides long. RefSeq lists it as uncharacterized. The transcript is spliced from 4 exons. Lineage: Eukaryota; Viridiplantae; Streptophyta; Magnoliopsida; Fagales; Fagaceae. The record is from RefSeq and is a predicted model, not a curated record.
AAAAAAUACCCAAACCGACCUACCUCACUUUUCAUCUCUCUUUUUCUCUACCAUAAUUUCAAUACAUACACUCUGCCUACGGCUACUCUGGGCUCGGCCCAUCCACAACCUCCGGAGCCGGGUCGGGCCAGGAGAGGAGCGCGCGUUCGGGAGAAGUACGUCGCGGCGGCGGUGGGCGAAGAUACUAAUCCGAAAGAAAAGAGCACUGCUGCUGUUGUAACUGUAUGGAUGAACUACUUGUAUUCUCACAAGAGCAACAUGUACUCAGACAUCUCUUACUAUUUGCUUUUCUCCAAGGAUACAGAAUUUUGGAACUCUCUCUCUGUUGCCUCCCAAGCUGCUGUUUGUGUUUAUUGCCAUAUUCCAUAGGCAAUGAAGUAAACAAGAGUAAUUCAGGAACCAAAUCCAAGGAAGAAAUUGCUUCUGGUAUGCGUGCGGUGGAGGUCUUGUCUUUAGAUUUGAGGAACUCAUGUAUAAGAUCCAAGAAAUAAAAGCAAAGCUGAACAAAGUGAAAUGAAGGUUCGGGAAAUAUGCCAUGACAUUAAAAUGUUGGAGUUUGCAAAGAAGCAUGUAACGGCUACAAUUCAGCCCUUCAUCAUCUAACCAUGCAAGGUUUGACCCUAAUAUCCUUUUAUGUUUGCACAAGGUGGUUCCUCAGGGUUUUUAUGGUUUCUUGCCAUUAGGCUUGUUAGAUUGAAAAUUUAUAGAUUGUAAUAUGCAAAAGAUUAAUAUCUCUGUCAAUAAAAACAAAAUAAAAAAAAUCUGUUAUUAGGCAGCAAAAGUAAAAGCAGUUGCUUACAGUUGAUGUGCUACUGGCUUUGUUCUAGGAUACUUGUCCCGAAAAAGAAGUGCUAGGAUAGGACAAUUGAAGGUGCCUUUUUAUGAUCUCACACUAUUCAAAUAAGAUAUUCUCUCUCCCACUUGACAAUAAUCUUAUGCAGCAACUUGGUUAUUGUAAAUUUAGAAAUGAGAUAUAAAUUGAAGACA